CUGAGACACGGCCCAGACUCCUACGGGAGGCAGCAGUGGGGAAUCUUCCGCAAUGGACGAAAGUCUGACGGAGCAACGCCGCGUGAACGAUGACGGCCUUCGGGUUCGUAAAGUUCUGUUAUACGGGACGAAUGGUACGACGGUCAAUACCCGUCGUAAGUGACGGUACCGUAAGAGAAAGCCACGGCUAACUACGUGCCAGCAGCCGCGGUAAUACGUAGGUGGCAAGCGUUGUCCGGAAUUAUUGGGCGUAAAGGGCGCGCAGGCGGCGUCGUAAGUCGGUCUUAAAAGUGCGGGGCUUAACCCCGUGAGGGGACCGAAACUGCGAUGCUAGAGUAUCGGAGAGGAAAGCGGAAUUCCUAGUGUAGCGGUGAAAUGCGUAGAUAUUAGGAGGAACACCAGUGGCGAAAGCGGCUUUCUGGACGACAACUGACGCUGAGGCGCGAAAGCCAGGGGAGCAAACGGGAUUAGAUACCCCGGUAGUCCUGGCCGUAAACGAUGGAUACUAGGUGUAGGAGGUAUCGACCCCUUCUGUGCCGGAGUUAACGCAAUAAGUAUCCCGCCUGGGGAGU
RNAcentral lists this ribosomal RNA (572 nucleotides) under uncultured bacterium. RNAcentral describes it as "bacterial SSU rRNA". It matches the Rfam family "Bacterial small subunit ribosomal RNA", at positions 319 to 881 of the family's 1533-position model. The record is from RNAcentral.